Molecule: ribosomal RNA, 433 nt
Filed under: uncultured bacterium
Lineage: Bacteria
Description: partial 16S ribosomal RNA
Rfam family: Bacterial small subunit ribosomal RNA
Source: RNAcentral
AACGAACGCUGGCGGCAUGCCUAACACAUGCAAGUCGAACGAGACCUUCGGGUCUAGUGGCGCACGGGUGCGUAACGCGUGGGAACCUUCCCUUAGGUUCGGAAUAACUCCCCGAAAGGGGUGCUAAUACCGGAUAAUGUCUUCGGACCAAAGAUUUAUCGCCUUUGGAUGUGCCCGCGUUGGAUUAGCUAGUUGGUAGGGUAAAAGCCUACCAAGGCGACGAUCCAUAGAUGGUCUGAGAGGAUGAUCAGCCACACUGGGACUGAGACACGGCCCAGACUCCUACGGGAGGCAGCAGUGGGGAAUAUUGGAACAUGGGCGAAAGCCUGAUCCAGCAAUGACGCGUGAGUGAUGAAGGCCUUAGGGUUGUAAAGCUCUUUUAACCGGGAUGAUAAUGACAGUACCGGGAGAAUAAGCUCCGGCUAACUACGUG